Molecule: long non-coding RNA, 368 nt
Organism: Equus quagga
Lineage: Eukaryota; Metazoa; Chordata; Mammalia; Perissodactyla; Equidae
Exons: 2
Source: RefSeq, a predicted model, not a curated record
GCACUGCCAUCGCGCCCUCCAUGUCGCAACGCGCCGCAGGAAGAUGGCGGAUUUACGACCGUGUCGUCAUAACAACGGGCCGCGCCGAGGAGAGCGAGAGAGAACGAUAGGAGGAAGACGACGGGGCGGGGCCAGGAAUCGGAGCUCAGGAGAGCCGCUACCAGGACAUCGCCCCAGCUGGGACCAGUAGUGUGGUGCUCGGUGCCCUCCGACCCCCUCGGGUGUCAGAAUCUCCUUUGAUGGUUGCCCGGAUCCCGGGAGAAGAACUCAAGCUGGGGAUGGCUCACGAGUAGCUUCACUAAGCCUUUUAUUCUUUUGUGUAUUUUUUAAGUUGUGAUAAAUACACAUAAAAGUUUACCUUAGUGACA